This 253-nucleotide ribosomal RNA is filed under the name uncultured bacterium. RNAcentral's name for it is "partial 16S ribosomal RNA". It matches the Rfam family "Bacterial small subunit ribosomal RNA", at positions 524 to 776 of the family's 1533-position model. The record is from RNAcentral.
UACAGAGGUGCCAAGCGUUAGGCGGAAUCACUGGGCUUAAAGCGUGUGUAGGCGGAUUGGUAAGUACCUUGUGAAAUCCCACGGCUCAACCGUGGAACUGCUUGGUAUACUGCUUAUCUUGGGCCACUUAGGGGCUACCGGAACAAACGGUGGAGCGGUGAAAUGCGUAGAUAUCGUUUGGAACGCCAAUGGUGAAAACAGGUAGCUGGGAGUGUGCCGACGCUGAGACACGAAAGCCAGGGGAGCGAACGGG